UGAAGGCCACAGACCCUGGCUGCCGCCGGUUCGCUCAGAACGACAGGACUUUAGCCCAAUACCCUUCAGUCGUUUGCCACGAAGGUGUCUUUUUCCCUGUUCUGUGCUCUGUAGUGCACAAAAUAACUUCUUUUGGUGAUCAGCCGCCUUGGCUGCUUGCCACAUACACAUGAGUGCUGCAUAAACCUGUGGGUGAAAGCGCCACUGCUGAACUGUCUUCUCCGAAUGUCCCGGAUCUUGCCACUCUGAAGUAAUGUGCCGAAUACGCUGAGCAACCAAAAUCGCUAUUCAAUAGGAGUUUCUUUCGGGUUUUGUCCUUCUACUCCAUAGGAUAUCCCACUGACCUUCCAUUCUGAGAACACUGAAGUGAAGGUCCUCCUGACAAUAGAGUAGUAUGCUGAAGCCUUGGGCCUGUGACAAUCCUGCUUGCGUCCUCCUGGAAGAGUGGGCUGUGACCUCCACUUACCCCAGUUAUGUAAGCAUUGGUCAGCCAGUUCCCAUAAAGCUCUUCUUGGACCUACUUGCACCUUUCAACUUAAUGAUUUUAUAGGUUACAAGAGGUGUGGCUGCCAGAUUGCCAUAGAGACCUUUGCUCUACUAACCUUUUUCCCCCCAAUGAAAAGUUAAAUAAAAAUCUUAACCAGCAAUUCAACAAGGAAUUGCAUAUAUUUUAAGUAAAAUGUUCUCUUUCACCCUGAGGAAUGCUUGAAAGCCUUGUACUUCAAAUUCAAUUUGUUUCCCAUGUUUCCCAUUCUAUUUUUUUUCUUUACUUUUCCAGCCAAGUAGUGUAAUUGAGUUAUCAAAACGGAAAAAAAUAAAGACCUGAGAAUUA
Nannospalax galili (Upper Galilee mountains blind mole rat) is the source of this 832-nucleotide long non-coding RNA. RefSeq lists it as uncharacterized. NCBI's taxonomy places the organism in Eukaryota, Metazoa, Chordata, Mammalia, Rodentia, Spalacidae. The record is from RefSeq and is a predicted model, not a curated record. The transcript has 2 exons.